GGGGAGCUGAACGCUGCGCGCACCAACCCAGGCCCGAUGGUUUGUUGGAGAGACUGGACUUGAGAAGGUACAAUCAGGAACCAGCUUCAUUAUUUUCCAAGCACUGCCUUCAACUAGACUCUUUGGAUCACCUUCCCCAAUUGAGAGGAUUUCUUCGCCAAAUCUCAGACACUUUCAGUUCGCGGGCCUCUCACUGCUGUCGCCUCCCCUGCUACGUAGGACAGGCUCUGGACGCACAGGCCCAGCGGCCACAGCCCACAGGCCCAGCCGCCCCACGGCACACGGGAUCUUCCCGGACUGGGGCACGAACCCACAUCCCCUGCUUUGGCAGGUGGACUCCCAACCACUGUGCC
Long non-coding RNA from Lagenorhynchus albirostris (white-beaked dolphin), 353 nucleotides. RefSeq lists it as uncharacterized. The transcript is spliced from 3 exons. The record is from RefSeq and is a predicted model, not a curated record. Lineage: Eukaryota; Metazoa; Chordata; Mammalia; Artiodactyla; Delphinidae.